UGGGGAAUUUUGGACAAUGGGCGAAAGCCUGAUCCAGCAAUGCCGCGUGUGUGAAGAAGGCCUUCGGGUUGUAAAGCACUUUUGUCCGGAAAGAAAUCCUUGGCUCUAAUACAGUCGGGGGAUGACGGUACCGGAAGAAUAAGCACCGGCUAACUACGUGCCAGCAGCCGCGGCAAUACGUAGGGUGCAAGCGUUAAUCGGAAUUACUGGGCGUAAAGCGUGCGCAGGCGGUUUGCUAAGACCGAUGUGAAAUCCCCGGGCUCAACCUGGGAACUGCAUUGGUGACUGGCAGGCUAGAGUAUGGCAGAGGGGGGUAGAAUUCCACGUGUAGCAGUGAAAUGCGUAGAGAUGUGGAGGAAUACCGAUGGCGAAGGCAGCCCCCUGGGCCAAUACUGACGCUCAUGCACGAAAGCGUGGGGAGCAAACAGGAUUAGAUACCCUGGUAGUCCACGCCCUAAACGAUGUCAACUAGUUGUUGGGGAUUCAUUUCCUUAGUAACGUAGCUAACGCGUGAAGUUGACCGCCUGGGGAGUACGGUCGCAAGAUUAAAACUCAAAUGAAUUGACGGGUCAUAGCUGUUUCCU
RNAcentral lists this ribosomal RNA (584 nucleotides) under uncultured bacterium. RNAcentral describes it as "partial 16S ribosomal RNA". It matches the Rfam family "Bacterial small subunit ribosomal RNA", at positions 355 to 932 of the family's 1533-position model. The record is from RNAcentral.